GGGGCGGUGAAGCGCGUUUCCCCAAAAGAUACAUCAAGCAGUCAAGUAUGAUAGAUUUUACAUCAUUACAGACCACCUCCCAGCUGCUAUGUCCUCAGCAAUUCAUGUAUAGCAGGUCGCUGUGACCCUUCAGACUAAGUUCUUGGUCACCAGACCACCACUUAUGGGAUGAGUCAUUAACAGAGAACCCGGAAACAGCUUGCUAGCUGGAUACCACAGAGGUAGCACAUGAAUCAGAAAAGUGUAGCUAGGUCUGAUUCAUAAGGCACCACAGAAAGUGUUGUGUUGAGGUGGCCUGGGCAGGCUUUGCCAAACCAUGGAGCAUAUUUAAGGAGGGUCUCCCUGCGACUCUGGGAGAGCGUCAGCCAUGGCCUUCCUAUCCACAUCUGUGCUCAUUAAAUGCUGCAUCCUCCUGUUGGCAGGAGGAUUGGCUGAGAGCCUUACUCUAGGUUUGGCACCUGCUCUGUCUACCCACUCUUCUGGAGUGUCAACACAGUCUGUUGAUUUGUCACAAAUUAAAAGAGGCGAUGAGAUCCAAGCCCACUGUCUGACACCAGCAGAAACUGAAGUGACUGAGUGUGCUGGCAUUCUGAAAGAUGUUCUGUCAAAAAACCUUCAUGAGCUUCAAGGGCUCUGUAAUGUUAAGAACAAAAUGGGUGUACCAUGGGUUUCUGUGGAAGAGCUGGGUCAAGAGAUUAUAACAGGCAGAUUGCCAUUCCCCUCUGUGGGUGGCACACCAGUGAAUGACCUGGUACGAGUUUUGGUGGUGGCAGAAUCAAACACCCCAGAAGAGACUCCAGAGGAGGAGUUUUAUGCCUAUGUGGAACUUCAGACUGAGUUGUACACCUUUGGUCUGUCUGAUGACAAUGUGGUUUUCACUAGCGAUUAUAUGACUGUGUGGAUGAUUGACAUUCCCAAAUCUUAUGUGGAUGUGGGCAUGCUCACACGAGCAACUUUCCUGGAGCAGUGGCCGGGUGCCAAAGUGACUGUCAUGAUUCCCUACUCCUCCACCUUUACCUGGUGUGGAGAGCUUGGCGCCAUCUCUGAAGAAUCUGCCCCACAACCAAGUUUGAGUGCCAGAUCCCCGGUCUGUAAGAACAGUGCCAGAUAUUCUACCUCAAAAUUUUGCGAGGUAGAUGGAUGCACAGCUGAAACUGGCAUGGAAAAGAUGUCUCUGCUCACUCCAUUUGGAGGCCCACCUCAACAGGCUAAGAUGAACACUUGCCCAUGCUACUACAAGUACAGCGUGAGCCCACUGCCUGCCAUGGACCACUUGAUCCUAGCUGACCUAGCUGGCCUGGAUUCUCUCACUUCACCUGUUUAUGUGAUGGCAGCAUAUUUUGAUUCUACACAUGAAAAUCCUGUGAGACCAUCCAGCAAGCUUUAUCAUUGUGCUCUACAGAUGACAAGUCAUGAUGGGGUGUGGACUUCAACUUCCAGUGAGCAGUGUCCCAUUAGACUGGUUGAGGGCCAGUCUCAAAAUGUGCUGCAGGUCCGGGUGGCUCCGACAUCGAUGCCUAACCUGGUUGGGGUCAGCUUGAUGUUGGAGGGGCAACAGUACAGGCUGGAGUAUUUUGGGGAUCAUUGAUACUCAGUAACUUAAGAGGAAAUUUUUUUGUUAAAAAUAAAGUUAUUUUUAAAAAA
This 1644-nucleotide non-coding RNA is filed under the name synthetic construct. The record is from RNAcentral.